Molecule: unclassified non-coding RNA, 214 nt
Filed under: soil metagenome
Description: partial contains 5.8S ribosomal RNA, internal transcribed spacer 2, and large subunit ribosomal RNA
Source: RNAcentral
AACGCACGAGACCUGCGGACCUGCGGAGGGAUCAUUACAAGUGACCCCGGUCUAACCACCGGGAUGUUCAUAACCCUUUGUUGUCCGACUCUGUUGCCUCCGGGGCGACCCUGCCUUCGGGCGGGGGCUCCGGGUGGACACUUCAAACUCUUGCGUAACUUUGCAGUCUGAGUAAACUUAAUUAAUAAAUUAAAACUUUCAACAACGGAUCUCU